This 76-nucleotide transfer RNA is filed under the name Oscillospiraceae bacterium. RNAcentral describes it as "tRNA-Ala". It matches the Rfam family "tRNA". From Rfam's summary of the family: Transfer RNA (tRNA) molecules are approximately 80 nucleotides in length. Lineage: Bacteria; Bacillati; Bacillota; Clostridia; Eubacteriales; Oscillospiraceae. The record is from RNAcentral.
GGGGGUGUAGCUCAGUUGGUAGAGCGUACGGUUCGCAUCCGUAAGGUCGUGGGUUCGACUCCCUUCAUCUCCACCA